UACGAAGGGUGCAAACGUUGCUCGGAAUUAUUGGGCGUAAAGCGCACGUAGGCGGAUCGUUAAGUCGGGGGUGAAAUCCUGGAGCUCAACUCCAGAACUGCCUUCGAUACUGGCGAUCUCGAGUUCGGGAGAGGUGAGUGGAACUGCGAGUGUAGAGGUGAAAUUCGUAGAUAUUCGCAAGAACACCAGUGGCGAAGGCGGCUCACUGGCCCGAUACUGACGCUGAGGUGCGAAAGCGUGGGGAGCAAACAGG
RNAcentral lists this ribosomal RNA (253 nucleotides) under uncultured bacterium. Its description in RNAcentral is "partial 16S ribosomal RNA". It matches the Rfam family "Bacterial small subunit ribosomal RNA", at positions 524 to 776 of the family's 1533-position model. The record is from RNAcentral.